This 281-nucleotide ribosomal RNA is filed under the name Staphylococcus aureus. Its description in RNAcentral is "partial 23S ribosomal RNA". It matches the Rfam family "Bacterial large subunit ribosomal RNA", at positions 557 to 840 of the family's 2925-position model. The record is from RNAcentral. Lineage: Bacteria; Bacillati; Bacillota; Bacilli; Caryophanales; Staphylococcaceae.
CGUGUGCUUACAAGUAGUCAGAGCCCGUUAAUGGGUGAUGGCGUGCCUUUUGUAGAAUGAACCGGCGAGUUACGAUUUGAUGCAAGGUUAAGCAGUAAAUGUGGAGCCGUAGCGAAAGCGAGUCUGAAUAGGGCGUUUAGUAUUUGGUCGUAGACCCGAAACCAGGUGAUCUACCCUUGGUCAGGUUGAAGUUCAGGUAACACUGAAUGGAGGACCGAACCGACUUACGUUGAAAAGUGAGCGGAUGAACUGAGGGUAGCGGAGAAAUUCCAAUCGAACCU